This 2884-nucleotide long non-coding RNA is filed under the name Sus scrofa (pig). Its description in RNAcentral is "lncRNA (ENSSSCG00025047130.1)". The record is from RNAcentral. Lineage: Eukaryota; Metazoa; Chordata; Mammalia; Artiodactyla; Suidae.
AGCCGUGACAUCCAGCAGAGACGAGGACAGAGCAGAAAUCAUUGCGGCAGAAAGUGAUGGCCAGAAAGCCACCCGACGGGAAGCGGGGCCCCGGGGGCAGCAGGAAAACAGCUUCUGCGCGCGGGGACAGAGCGUCAGCAGAGAAGAGAAAGGUUCCAGGAUCGGAAGUGGUGGCGGGCAGGAUGCGGUCGCCGCAGACCCCGAACCAGGCUCCAGACAAGCCCCGCGUGUGGUCGCUGCACCGGACUUGGGGGGGAGGAAGGGGACUGAAGACACACAGGUUGGAGAGAACACGGGGACAUGAUCACGGGGACCCAGGAAACAGACUAGGGAGGAUAUGAGGACACUGUCACAGGGACCCAGGACCCAAGUUAGAGGACACGGGAACCCUGUCACAGGGACUCAGGACACAGGUUAGAGAGGACACGGGGACCCUGUCACAGGGACUCAGGACACAGGUUAGAGAGGACAAGGGGAAAGCCUCACAGGGACUCAGGACACAGGUUAGAGAGGACAAGGGGAAAGCCUCACAGGGACUCAGGACACAGGUUAGAGAGGACACGGGGACGCUGUCACCGGGACUCAGGACACAGGUUAGAGAGGACACGGGGACAGUUUCACAGGGAAUCAGGACACAGGUUAGAGAGGAAACGGGGAUGCUGUCACCGGGACUCAGGACACAGGUUAGAGAGGACAAGGGGAAAGCCUCACAGGGACUCAGGACACAGGUUAGAGAGGACACGGGGACCCUGUCACAGGGACUCAGGACACAGGUUAGAGAGGACAAGGGGAAAGCCUCACAGGGACUCAGGACACAGGUUAGAGAGGAACGGGGACGCUGUCACAGGGACUCAGGACACAGAGGUUAGAGAGGACACGGGGAUGCUGUCACAGGGACUCAGGACACAGGUUAGAGAGGACAAGGGGAAAGCCUCACAGGGACUCAGGACACAGGUUAGAGAGGACACGGUGAAGCCCUCACAGGGACUCAAGACCCAGGUUAGAGAGGAACGGGGACACUGUCACAGGGACUCAGGACACAGGUUAGAGAGGACACGGGGAAACCCUCACAGGGACUCAGGACCCAGGUUAGAGAGGACACGGGGACGCUGUCACCGGGACUCAGGACACAGGUUAGAGAGGACACGGUGAAGCCCUCACAGGGACUCAAGACCCAGGUUAGAGAGGAACGGGGACACUGUCACAGGGACCCAGGACACAGGUUAGAGAGGAACGGGGACGCUGUCACAGGGACUCAGGACACAGAGGUUAGAGAGGACACGGGGAUGCUGUCACCGGGACUCAGGACACAGGUUAGAGAGGACAAGGGGAAAGCCUCACAGGGACUCAGGACACAGGUUAGAGAGGAACGGGGACACUGUCACAGGGACCCAGGACACAGGUUAGAGAGGAACGGGGACACUCUCACAGGGACUCAGGACACAGAGGUAAGAGAGGACACGGGGACAGUGUCACAGGUAUCGAGGACACAGGUUACAGAGGACAUGGGGACAGUGUCACAGGGACUCAGGACACAGAGGUUAGAGAGGACACGGGGACAGUGUCACAGGGACUGAGGACACAGACGUUAGAGAUCACACGGGGACGCUGUCACAGGGACUCAGGACACAGGUUAGAGAGGACACGGGGACAGUUUCACAGGGACUCAGGACACAGGUUAGAGAGGAAACGGGGAUGCUGUCACCGGGACUCAGGACACAGAGGUUAGAGAGGACACGGGGACGCUGUCACAGGGACUCAGGACACAGAGGUUAGAGAGGACACGGGGACAGUGUCACAGGGACUCAGGACACAGGUUAGAGGAUUCGAGUACAGUGUCAAACAAGACUGACACGCACAGCCUGACACCUGGCAGAACCCACGCUAGGGACAUAGACACAGACAGGCAACCGACGCUGGAGGAGGGGCCAAGGCCGGGCAGCAGAAGGACAAGGUGCCCACCAGGCGGCCCAGAGCCACUGGGCUCCGUGUGCAGAACACACCCUGCCUCGGACCCGCCAUGUGCAAAUGAGCCAUCAGAGUGCAGCCCAGACCUGCAGGGAAGCGCUAACCGGAUCAACCUCUAGAAGAAAACCUGAGAAAUGAAGGGGCCGUGGAUUUGCCAGUACCUCCUGCCUAAGGUACAAACUCCGUUAAAAAAAAAUCUGAAAGCUCAAAGGGACCAAAAUUAGAAACGUUUGCAAAUCCGACGACUGUUAUGAGAAUGAAAAGAGCAAACAUACAGACGGACACAGCUGACAAAGGAUGUGUACCUAGAGAAUCACAAGCACAUGGAACUCAGGGCUACGAAAACAACAGAUGGGUUUUCUCUUUUUCUCUUUCUUCUUGGCUGCCCUGUGGCAUAUGGAGUUCUGGGCCCUGGCCUGGGAUCAGAUCUGAGUGGUAGCUGUGAUGCAGGCCACAGGUAUGACAACAUCAGGUGCCAGGCCGGAGACUGAACCUGCGUGCUGGCAUUGCAGAGACACUGCUGAGCCCACUGUGCCGCAGCAGCAACUCCAACACCUGAUUUUUAUAAUUUUUUUGUCUUUUUCUAUUUUGGGCCACACCUGUGGCAUAGUAAUGCUCCCAGGCUAGGUGUGGAAUCAGAGUUACAGCUACUGGCCUACUCCACAGCCACAGCAACACAUGAUCUGAGCCGCAUCUGGGACCUACAGCACAGCCAUGGCAACGCCAGAUCCUCAACCCACAGAGUGAGGCCAGGGAUUGAACUUGCACCCUCAUGGAUCCUAGUCAGGUUCAUUUCUGCCGAGCCACAAAGGGAACUGUCAAGAUCUCUGAAUUUUAAAAUGGCUGAAAUGCUGAUAGACUAUUAUGUGAAUUUUACCACAAUAAAAUGUUACCUACUUUAUGCUUCUAUUUGUGU